UAAGUUGAAGCCAAAUGUUUAGGCGCUUAGCUGUUAACUAAGUCCUAGUGGGAUAAAUACCCUCCAAUUUAG
Molecule: transfer RNA, 72 nt
Filed under: Tarsipes rostratus (honey possum)
Lineage: Eukaryota; Metazoa; Chordata; Mammalia; Diprotodontia; Tarsipedidae
Description: transfer RNA-Asn
Rfam family: tRNA
About the family: Transfer RNA (tRNA) molecules are approximately 80 nucleotides in length. Their secondary structure includes four short double-helical elements and three loops (D, anti-codon, and T loops).
Source: RNAcentral